GAUGAACGCUGGCGGCGUGCCUAAUACAUGCAGGUCGAGCGAACAGAUGAGGAGCUUGCUCCUCUGACGUUAGCGGCGGACGGGUGAGUAACACGUGGAUAACCUACCUAUAAGACUGGGAUAACUUCGGGAAACCGGAGCUAAUACCGGAUAAUAUAUUGAACCGCAUGGUUCAAUAGUGAAAGACGGUUUUGCUGUCACUUAUAGAUGGAUCCGCGCCGCAUUAGCUAGUUGGUAAGGUAACGGCUUACCAAGGCAACGAUGCGUAGCCGACCUGAGAGGGUGAUCGGCCACACUGGAACUGAGAUACGGUCCAGACUCCUACGGGAGGCAGCAGUAGGGAAUCUUCCGCAAUGGGCGAAAGCCUGACGGAGCAACGCCGCGUGAGUGAUGAAGGUCUUCGGAUCGUAAAACUCUGUUAUUAGGGAAGAACAAAUGUGUAAGUAACUAUGCACGUCUUGACGGUACCUAAUCAGAAAGCCACGGCUAACUACGUG
RNAcentral lists this ribosomal RNA (497 nucleotides) under uncultured bacterium. RNAcentral's name for it is "partial 16S ribosomal RNA". It matches the Rfam family "Bacterial small subunit ribosomal RNA", at positions 28 to 507 of the family's 1533-position model. The record is from RNAcentral.